RNAcentral lists this transfer RNA (76 nucleotides) under Synergistales bacterium. Its description in RNAcentral is "tRNA-Arg". It matches the Rfam family "tRNA". Rfam says of the family: Transfer RNA (tRNA) molecules are approximately 80 nucleotides in length. The record is from RNAcentral. RNAcentral also lists the same sequence under 1 other name. Lineage: Bacteria; Thermotogati; Synergistota; Synergistia; Synergistales.
GUGCCUGUAGCUCAGUGGAUAGAGCGCUGGUCUCCGGAACCAGAGGUCGCGAGUUCGACUCUCGCCAGGCACGCCA